Molecule: ribosomal RNA, 452 nt
Filed under: uncultured organism
Description: bacterial SSU rRNA
Rfam family: Bacterial small subunit ribosomal RNA
Source: RNAcentral
GACGAACGCUGGCGGCGUGCCUAAGACAUGCAAGUCGAACGGGACCUUCGGGUCUAGUGGCGAACGGCGGAGUAAUACAUAAGUAACUUGCCUCGAAGAUCGGGAUAGCCGCGGGAAACUGCGAGUAAUACCGGAUGUGACGAGUGGGGGGCAUCCCCUGCUCAUUAAAUGGUUUUUCGCUUCGAGAGCGGCUUAUGACACAUCAGCUAGUUGGUGGGGUAAAGGCCUACCAAGGCGACGACGUGUAGGGGGUCUGAGAGGAUGAUCCCCCCGAGUGGGACUGAGACACGGCCCACACACCUACGGGUGGCAGCAGUUGGGAAUCUUGCACAAUGGGGGAAACCCUGAUGCAGCGACGCCGCGUGGAGGAAGAAGGGUCUAGGCUCGUAAACUCCUUUUUCAGGGAAAGACUUAGGACGGUACCCUGAGAAUAAGCUCCGGCUAACUACGUG